UACGUAGGGACCAAGCGUUGUUCGGAUUUACUGGGCGUAAAGGGCGCGUAGGCGGCGUGUUAAGUCAGCUGUGAAAUCUCCAAGCUUAACUUGGAACGGUCAGCUGAUACUGAUGUGCUAGAGUGCAGAAGGGGCAAUCGGAAUUCUUGGUGUAGCGGUGAAAUGCGUAGAGAUCGGGAGGAACACCAGUGGCGAAGGCGGCUACCUGGACCAGCACUGACACUGAGGCACGAAAGCGUGGGGAGCAAACAGG
This 253-nucleotide ribosomal RNA is filed under the name uncultured bacterium. RNAcentral's name for it is "partial 16S ribosomal RNA". It matches the Rfam family "Bacterial small subunit ribosomal RNA", at positions 524 to 776 of the family's 1533-position model. The record is from RNAcentral.